Molecule: transfer RNA, 85 nt
Filed under: Thermoproteota archaeon
Lineage: Archaea; Thermoproteati; Thermoproteota
Also listed under: 1 other name
Description: tRNA-Leu
Rfam family: tRNA
About the family: Transfer RNA (tRNA) molecules are approximately 80 nucleotides in length. Their secondary structure includes four short double-helical elements and three loops (D, anti-codon, and T loops). Further hydrogen bonds mediate the characteristic L-shaped molecular structure. tRNAs have two regions of fundamental functional importance: the anti-codon, which is responsible for specific mRNA codon recognition, and the 3' end, to which the tRNAs corresponding amino acid is attached (by aminoacyl-tRNA synthetases). tRNAs cope with the degeneracy of the genetic code in two manners: having more than one tRNA (with a specific anti-codon) for a particular amino acid; and 'wobble' base-pairing, i.e. permitting non-standard base-pairing at the 3rd anti-codon position.
Source: RNAcentral
GCGGAGAUAGCGAAGCCUGGUCAAACGCGCAGGGCUUAGAACCCUGUUCCGAAGGGAUUCAGGGGUUCGAGUCCCCUUCUCCGCA